Molecule: non-coding RNA, 1160 nt
Organism: Equus caballus (horse)
Lineage: Eukaryota; Metazoa; Chordata; Mammalia; Perissodactyla; Equidae
Source: RefSeq, a predicted model, not a curated record
GGAAGGGGAGGGGACAUCAAGGCCAGCUCCUGCCACGCCUGCUGCCCCCAGCCCUGGCCCAAGACAUAUGUCUGAGGGGUCUCCCAGAGGGUGUGGCCCUGUUCUUGGUGUGGCCGCAGUGGAUACCCUGGGAGGAGGUGGGAAGACGUGGGUGAGUAGAAGAGGGUGCCUGGGUAGGGGGUGAGCUCCCUGUCUCAGGAGUGUGCAAGCAGAGGCUGGACCACUGGUGAGUCCUGCCCGAGGCCGUGAUCCUUGAAGGAAUUUGGGAGGCAGGGUCUAACCUGAACAUCAUUAUUGAAGCAUGGUUUUAUGAAAUGCCAUUUGAAGCGUCCUGUGACAACAAAAUUUUGAAAAGGAACCAACUGAAAGAGCUCCCAGUGGCCAAAGUGGGAACAACGUGAGCGAGAAAAUCAAUAAUGUCGUAUUGGACGAUAACCCACAGUGUUCAACAGACAUCCGUGAAUCCAUGCUGGUCUAAAUAAGAAGGAAUAAACAAAUCAAUGGUGGAGAAGAGACGAAUCGCCCGCACAGAAGAAUCCCACAUAAUGUGUGUGGAUACACCUCCUUUGCGGGGGGAAACCCAGCUCCCAGGUGGCUGCGCACAGCGACUUCCUUCCCUUCCGGAGGGCAUGGGAUGGAAAGGGGAAGCACACACACCUCACAGGGAAACGUCAUGUCGGGAGCCUGUGUCCUGAUGUGAGGGGAGCAGAAGGGCACUUCACCCUGUGGUCUUCCUCCCCAGACCAAGGCGCCCAGUGCAAUCAUGACGUAAACAUCAGACAAAUCCCCAUAGAGGGGCAUCUUACAAAAAUCCUGACAGUCCUCCUCCAAACCAUCAAGGUCACCAGAACAAGGGAAGUCUGACUGCCAGAGGAGUCUAAGGAGACGCGAUGACUGAGUGUCUGUGGUGUCCAGGAUGGGAUCCUGGGACAGAGAAAGGACAUUAGGUAAAGGCUAAAGAAACCUGGAUAAAGUAUGGACUUGAGUUAACAGUAAUGAAUCGAUAUCAAUUGAUGGGUUGUGACAAAUGUCCCACACCCACAUCGGAUGUCAAUAAUGGGGGGAACUGGGUGUGGGGUACAUGUGAACUCUCUGUACCAUCUUUGCAACUUUUCUGUAAACCUAAAACUGUUCUAAAAUAAAUCUUAGUUAAAAACCUG